AAGAUGCCACUGGCAGCUCUCUCUCCCUCCCGCUAUCCAAUCCCGUCUCGGCUCUCUCUCUCUGAGGGCCUCUGUCCGCACCUUCAAGGAGCACACCUACUGCGUCUACUCCGCCCUCUUCGCCUCCGUCUCCAGCGACUGCACUGCACGCGUCGGGGACGUGCAUGAGCCUAGAUCCACCAUGAUCAUCCCGGCGCAUGAGUUCGAGAUCCUCUCCUGCGAUUGGAACAAGUACGACAACUGCGUCAUCGUCACUGCCUCCGUCGACAAAUCGAUCAAGGUUUGGGACGCCAGGUCCAUCGGAGCUUCGAUUUGCUUCUCAACGGCCACAGCUACGCCGUCAGAAAAGCCAAAUGCUCGCCGCAUUGGCAAAGCUUGAUGACGUCGUGCUCGUAGGACUUGUCAGUUCCGUUGCUUCAAUACUAGUAAGGACUAGGGAUCGGCGACGAUUCCGAUAGCUACAGCUCCGGCCUUGGAUCAAUAACUCUGAAAACUACAUUGCCGUCGCCGUCGAUUACCGCCUAGUGAUUCGUGACACUCCCUCCUUCAAGCUGAUUCUGCACUGUCUGAAGAGACUAUUCAAAAAGGCUGGCUGUCUUUGCAUAUGUUCCGUGGGUAUUAUCAUGUUCUGUUCGAGUAGCUUGACAGCUUUGUGGGUCGCAAAGUUACUGAGAGAAGUAGAGAAGCAAAGGAGCUAGCUAGAUCAACAAGAAAAUCAGAAUGAGUGGAGGCGGCAUGGAAGCGGUGUCAUCUAGGCCACAAGAGGCGAAUGGCCAACACAAGAGAAAGUUUGCUAGGGGAACUUUCUUGUGGUCCAACUAGUCCCUUUGCUGUUCUUGUAGCUAGUAUGAGAGAUAAUACUUUUGUUAGACGACUUUGUUAAUUGUUUUUCACCUAGUAUGGUAAUUGAUUUAGCUAGCUAGUUACUGAUGUCUACCUAGCUAGUUAAUCUUUGUGUGAUGUUUAGUAUUGAUAUCUGGGUAUUGCUAAGCUUGGUAUGUGUAUUUUGUUCGAUUAAUAUACUUGAUUCUUAGUUUCAUUCAAAAAAAAAAAAAGAAUAAAAAAGGUUUGUGGGUUCAC
Rosa chinensis is the source of this 1080-nucleotide long non-coding RNA. RefSeq lists it as uncharacterized. The transcript is spliced from 3 exons. The record is from RefSeq and is a predicted model, not a curated record. NCBI's taxonomy places the organism in Eukaryota, Viridiplantae, Streptophyta, Magnoliopsida, Rosales, Rosaceae.